This 468-nucleotide ribosomal RNA is filed under the name uncultured Methanobrevibacter sp. Its description in RNAcentral is "bacterial SSU rRNA". It matches the Rfam family "Archaeal small subunit ribosomal RNA", at positions 344 to 816 of the family's 1478-position model. Lineage: Archaea; Methanobacteriati; Methanobacteriota; Methanobacteria; Methanobacteriales; Methanobacteriaceae. The record is from RNAcentral.
AAACCUCCUCAAUGUGAGAAAUCGUGACGAUGGGAUCCCAAGUGCCAUUCUUAACGGGAUGGCUUUUCUUAAUGUAAAAAGCUUUUGAAUAAGAGCUGGGCAAGACCGGUGCCAGCCGCCGCGGUAACACCGGCAGCUCUAGUGGUAGCUGUUUUUAUUGGGCCUAAAGCGUUCGUAGCCGGUUUAAUAAUUCGCUGGUGAAAUCCUGUAGCUUAACUGUGGGAAUUGCUGGUGAUACUGUUGAACUUGAGGUCGGGAGAGGUUAGCGGUACUCCCAGGGUAGAGGUGAAAUUCUGUAUUCCUGGGAGGACCACCUGUGGCGAAGGCGGCUAACUGGAACGAACCUGACGGUGAGGGACGAAAGCUAGGGGCGCGAACCGGAUUAGAUACCCGGGUAGUCCUAACCGUAAACGAUGCGGACUUGGUGUUGGGUGGCUUUGAGCCGCUCCGGUGCCGAAGGAAGUCGUU